RNAcentral lists this ribosomal RNA (252 nucleotides) under uncultured bacterium. RNAcentral's name for it is "partial 16S ribosomal RNA". It matches the Rfam family "Bacterial small subunit ribosomal RNA", at positions 335 to 580 of the family's 1533-position model. The record is from RNAcentral.
GGCCUACGGGAGGCAGCAGUAGGGAAUCUUCCACAAUGGGCGAAAGCCUGAUGGAGCAACGCCGCGUGAGUGAAGAAGGGUUUCGGCUCGUAAAGCUCUGUUGGUAGGGAAGAAAGAUAGAGGGAGUAACUGGCCUUAUUUUGACGGUAAUUACUUAGAAAGUCACGGCUAACUACGUGCCAGCAGCCGCGGUAAUACGUAGGUGGCAAGCGUUGUCCGGAUUUAUUGGGCGUAAGGCGAGUGCAGGCGGUU